AUUGAACGCUGGCGGCAGGCCUAACACAUGCAAGUCGAGCGGAGCGGCGGACGGGUGAGAAAUGCCUAGGAAUCUGCCUGGUAGUGGGGGAUAACGUCCGGAAACGGGCGCUAAUACCGUAUACUAUUAGAUGAGCCUAGGUCGGAUUAGCUAGUUGGUGGGGUAAAGGCCUACCAAGGCGACGAUCCGUAACUGGUCUGAGGGGAUGAUCAGUAACACUGGAACUUAGACACGGUCCAGAUUCCUACGGGAGGCAGCAGUGGGGACGAUUGGACAAUGGGCGAAAGCCUGAUCCAGCCAUGCCGCGUGUGUGAAGAAGGUCUUCGGAUUGUAAAGCACUUUAAGUUGGGAGGCGUUACCAACAGAAUAAGCACCGGCUAACAUCGUGCCAGCAGCCGCGGUAAUUC
This 407-nucleotide ribosomal RNA is filed under the name uncultured bacterium. RNAcentral's name for it is "partial 16S ribosomal RNA". It matches the Rfam family "Bacterial small subunit ribosomal RNA", at positions 30 to 526 of the family's 1533-position model. The record is from RNAcentral.